This 484-nucleotide ribosomal RNA is filed under the name uncultured bacterium. RNAcentral describes it as "partial 16S ribosomal RNA". It matches the Rfam family "Bacterial small subunit ribosomal RNA", at positions 28 to 523 of the family's 1533-position model. The record is from RNAcentral.
GAUGAACGCUGGCGGCGUGCUUAACACAUGCAAGUCGAACGGUGAAGCAGGAGCUUGCUCUUGUGGAUCAGUGGCGAACGGGUGAGUAACACGUGAGCAACCUGCCCCUGACUCUGGGAUAAGCGCUGGAAACGGCGUCUAAUACUGGAUAUGUGAUGUGACCGCAUGGUCUGCAUCUGGAAAGAAUUUCGGUUGGGGAUGGGCUCGCGGCCUAUCAGCUUGUUGGUGAGGUAAUGGCUCACCAAGGCGCCGACGGGUAGCCGGCCUGAGAGGGUGACCGGCCACACUGGGACUGAGGCACGGCCCAGACUCCUACGGGAGGCAGCAGUGGGGAAUAUUGCACAAUGGGCGGAAGCCUGAUUCAGCAACGCCGCGUGAGGGAUGACGGCCUUCGGGUUGUAAACCUCUUUUAGCAGGGAAGAAGCGAAAGUGACGGUACCUGCAGAAAAAGCACCGGCUAACUACGUGCCAGCCGCCGCCGUAA